ACGGUGGCUCUCAGAACAACAGCUUUCUUAGUCAGUUGGAUGCUGGUGUCUGUUGCAGGUUCUGGAUGCCGGUCGGAUCCGGGCCUUUGCAGAACCCUUGGUGCUGCUGCAGGAUCCAGACGGCUUCUUCUUCAAGAUGGUUCAGCAGACGGGCAAACAGGAAGCUGCAGCUUUACAUGAAGCAGCCAUAAAGGCUUUCAACAGCAGCCAACGUCCCGCCGCGCCGGCUAACGGACACGCAGAGACGGCGGACGGUCACCUGGUCAUCUUUGAAACGGCUCUGUGAGCUCAGACACGCUGCUGCCUCAGAACGGAGGAGUCCGGCCCGAGAGGGUCCAGCCUCUGAUGGAAGCACUUCCCUGCUGCUGGGACGCUGCUCCACAGCCGGCAUCAAACACCACAACCAUGCACAAAGCUUGUAGAGAGAAAGAGAGCUGAAGAGUUCUCCUCUUCCUCACAGGCGAGCGUUGUUGAGAGGAUGAAGAGUUUGUUUCUGUAAAUACUUUGCUGCACUAAAUGAACAUUUCAGUUUUUGGACUUUAUGUGUUUUUGAAGCAGCUGAAGACUCAAAAACUCUUCAUACAAAUAUUUAUAAAAAACCUCAAAAAUAAAUUAGGCUUUCAAGAA
This is a non-coding RNA of Oryzias latipes (Japanese medaka), 627 nucleotides long. NCBI's taxonomy places the organism in Eukaryota, Metazoa, Chordata, Actinopteri, Beloniformes, Adrianichthyidae. The record is from RefSeq and is a predicted model, not a curated record.